RNAcentral lists this long non-coding RNA (1457 nucleotides) under Homo sapiens (human). Its description in RNAcentral is "HSALNT0262813". The stretch from base 167 to 254 matches the Rfam family "MER1 repeat containing imprinted transcript 1 conserved region 1". The record is from RNAcentral. Lineage: Eukaryota; Metazoa; Chordata; Mammalia; Primates; Hominidae.
CUCGACGCCUCCUUGUCAGGGCUUCUCCGCAGAGGCGGGGCUUCUGUGCUAGCCAAUCAGCAGCCUCACCGCCCUCUCCGGGCCCCCUCACCACAGCCCUGUGACGUGCCAAUCAGGCUGCGGUUGCCACAGCAACAGUUUGGCGCGAAGGCUGGGGGCUGACGUCAGGGAGUGGCCGUGAGGGACCCCAAAGCCAGGUCUGGAAAAGGGGGGUGGGUUGGGUGGUGGGGGUGCAGCCCCCAAAGAAAUGGGGGUCGAAAUGGAGGAAACCCCACUGAGAUGCUCAAAUGUAAAACCGCUGAAGAAUAAAGGGACAAAUGUACACAUCUGUCUAAAUGAAAAAAAUGAAAAUCCUGGCCGCAAAAACACAUACAUUAACGUCUAAAGACCUGCAGGGAAGACAAGACUUUUCCGCCUGGGACACAUGAAAGACAUCGAGCUAAUUUCCUUAAUAAAUGAAGAGCUCUUGGAAACCAACGAGAUAAAGACCAAACCAAGACAGAAAAAUGGGCAAAAGGGAUAAAACUGGCAAUUCGCAAGAAAAUCCAAACGGCUGGCCGACCUGCGAAGGAAACAUCACGACCUGUUUGCAUAAAGAAAUGCAAACCUGAAACACCGGGCACGUGCGGUUUAGGGGAGCGGGCAGUCUCACACACUACUGAGUUGUUUCCCAGCAGCCGUCAAUACAGACCUUCCACUGCGUAAGCCCACUGCAUUGCCAUUUAAUAAAACAGCAAGAAAAUGAGAGAGAAAAAUAAUGAGGUAGAAUUGUAUGGGAUUAUUAAGGAUUGAAUUCUCAGUAGAUUUAGUGAAAUAUACAAGUUACUGAAGUUUGUAGAAACGAACUGGCUCCUUUUAUGUCAGGAGAGUCCAAAUCCAGUACCUGUUUGCCACAAUGAGCCUGGGACCUCAACAUGCAUGGAGUGCUUCCGGACCUCAUUACCCAAGAGCAGUCAGAUUUUUAAUUUCCUCUGCCUUUUUCAAGAUCAUUAGUUCAGAAGGUUUAUGUUUUCAAUUCCACAUAUCCUUGCAUUUUUCUUUCAAGUUUUGACCCAUAUGGAUAUCUUAAAUAUUCCUAUUAUUGCAAGUUUAUAUUAAAAGGAGGUUAAAUUGUGAACUCACAAACUCAUAGCAUCAUAGCACCAUCUCAAUCAAAAGUAUUAUCUUCUGUGAACUACAACAGUUUUCACUUCUUUCGCAAGUGUGGAGUGACGUUUGCCUGAGGCUGUAUGACCUGUGAUAUCAUGACAAAUUGAAGGCCAAAGCAGAUGCGAAUCCAGCUGUUUUCUAUUAAGUCAAAUGCCAAGGAGAUUUACAAAGAUGUAAAAUAAUGCGCCUCUUCUCAAUAACCUUUGGUUUUGAAAAUUGUUAUUUUUCAUAAAAAAUGUUGCUUCCAUUAACCUGUAAUAGGUUUACUACCAUUAUUUUAAAUAAAAUACACAUUUCAAAUGGCUUAA